Molecule: long non-coding RNA, 1678 nt
Filed under: Equus caballus (horse)
Lineage: Eukaryota; Metazoa; Chordata; Mammalia; Perissodactyla; Equidae
Description: lncRNA (ENSECAG00000046057.1)
Source: RNAcentral
AGCUGUGCCAAAUUUGAUGCUCUGAAAGGGAAGACCUGUGCCCACGCCUGCAAAAUUAGUGUCCUAGAAAGGAAGUGGCUCGAUGGCAAAUCAUCGGAACGCUACCUGAAUGAGCCCAUGUGUGUUCUUAAAGCUGAAGUGAGUCUGACUUCACCAAAAGCUCCACUUUUAGAGAGCCUCUGAUUGCAGUAUUAGCUUUUAUGACGUGGAAAGAGUUGGACAAUGAGAGAAAAAUCAGUUUAUACGUGGGAUGCCUACCACAGCACGGCUGCCAGGCAGUGCCAUGUCCGCACCCGGGAUCCGAACCAGCGAACCCCGGGCCGCCGAGAAGCGGAACGUGCGAACUUAACCGCUGCGCCACCGGGCCGGCCCCGAGAAGUUAAGUUUUUAGAGAGAAUGAGUAGCAAACUGUUGAGUGCUUCAGUCAGGAAGGUAGAGCCCCAUCGAUUGUAAGCAAGUAUAUCUAUAAUGAUGCUGAUGCUAGCUCUAUUGUGUCUGGACAGAGUAAGGCAUUCUGUUAAAUGCCUCACACAUAUUCUCAUUUAAUCCUGAGUGCUUUACACAAGAGGUCCUAUAUGUAACCCCAUCUUACCAAUGGGGAAAAUAAGGCUUAGCGUCUGAACCCAAAUGUGUCUGACUCAAAAUGCCAUGCUCUGAUCCCUUGGUUCAUUGCCUCUUAACAAAUGCACAUUAAAGUCCCUGCAUUUUCCACAUCAGACCUAGAAAUGCUUUUCUACUCUAUGACAGCUGUUUACAUUCUUUUGUUUUGGAAACAAGUAUAUUAAUUUUUGCUGUUUUACAGGCUUGUAUUAAUUAUUUUUUAAAUUGCAAAAUCAAUUUUCACUUUUUGGAUACCCUUUUGUUAAUAUUUAGAGUCAAUCUGAAGUAGAUGAGGAUUCGACUAUUUUAAUAUAUACUUGAAGAAUUGUUAAACACUGAUCACUGUGAUUGUAACCACUAUGAGACAAGAGGAUACCACGGCCAGAAAGGUCAAGAGUGAGUUUUCCAGGUCAUCGGCUCUGCCCAGAACUGCCUUGGUGAAUCACGUUCCACACAGCCUCUCAGUGCUGAGCCAGCAUCUAUGUAGAUCAAAGCUGUGGCCAGAAUGGCUAAUUCAUGCGCUAAACCCAAAUGUCAAAAUUUGUUAAACAUAUAUUCCUUUAGAAAAACUACCUAACUGAACCCACUGGAAGAAAAGUGCUAGAAUAAAUUAUUUGUCUAGAUUCAGAUUUAGAUGUUUUAAUUUAUUGCUGUGAUGGGCAGGCAAACAAUAAAGGCAAUGGCACAGUAACAGCCUACCUGGGGAAAGAGUUAGGGUCUAUCGCUGAAAGUCUUCAGGGAGAGGCACGUAAAGAAAUUAGUGAGACUGAUGAAGUGUUUAGUGGUAUAAAAUACAGAAGUUCAUAAAGGAUUAUCCCUCUGGUCUUCCCUAACCACACUGAAUAUGAAUGCAUUAUUGAAUGAAUAAAUCAGCAGCUUAAUGGUAUGAAGGCUUUCAAUGUAUCAACACUGCGGUUCAUUCUUAAUCUAUCUACUCCUUUUCCCCACACUUCUUUUUCCUUCUCCUCACUCCUAAUGAGGAUUUCUUGUGACUACAAAAGAAUAAUGACCCCACCACUACCACAGCCAUACACACAUCUUCUUUUUUCUGAGGGUGGAAUAACUAGCUAAGGAGUCU